RNAcentral lists this ribosomal RNA (1190 nucleotides) under Dactylella tenuis. Its description in RNAcentral is "SSU rRNA". It matches the Rfam family "Bacterial small subunit ribosomal RNA", at positions 217 to 1519 of the family's 1533-position model. Lineage: Eukaryota; Fungi; Ascomycota; Orbiliomycetes; Orbiliales; Orbiliaceae. The record is from RNAcentral.
GCUUUAAGAUACUAUUUGUUUCUCGGGUAGGUAGUAGUAGAGGUAAUUGCUCAACUAGCCUAACAUCCCGUAGUCGAGUCUGAAAGGUCGAUCGACCACAUUGGAUAUGAACAAAAUUCAAUGCGUAAUAGUACAGCAGUGAGGGAUAUUGGUCAAUAGCCGAAAGGCUGAACCAGCGAUUUGAAGGAAUGUUCUGAAUAGAAUAAUGAUUAUGACAAUUUUCUAUUCAAGUGUCUUGACAAACACAUGUGCCAGCAGUCGCGGUAAGACAUGAUAGACUAGUGUUAUUCAUCUUUAAUGGGUUUAAAGGGUACCUAGACGGAAGUUCAAGCCUGCAGAGGGACGGAAUUUCUAGAGUUUUAUGGGAGAAGGGGAGUACUACUGGUGGAGAGAUGAAAUUUGUUGAUACCUUUAGGACUGGUAAAGGCGAAGGCAACCUUUUAAGUAAAAACUGACGUUGAGGGACGAAGGCUUAGGUAACGAACAGGAUUAGAUACCCUAGUAGUCUUUGCAGAAAACGCUGAAUGCCAUAGGUUAGAAAUAUAUUUUAGUCUAUAAAUGAAAGUGCAAGCAUUCCACCUCAAGAGUAAUGCGGCAACGCAGGAACUGAAAUCAUUAGACCGUUUUUUGAAACCAGUAGUGAAGUAUGUUAUUUAAUUCGAUGACCCACGAAAAAUCUUACCACAACUUGAAUACAGGUGUUGCACGGCUGUCUUAAGUUAAUGUCGUGAGAUCAUGGUUAGAUCCAACAAUUAGCGUAAGCCCUUAGUUUAUUUAAAAAAUAUAAAUGAUAACCGGGAAUAAGACAAGUCAUCAUGGCCCUUCUAUUGUAAAAAAGUUAAUGUUGUGGGCUAUAGACGUGCCACAUAUGCCUAAACAAAAGGAUGCAAAAAUGUGAAUUUAAGCUAAUCCCGAAAAUAGGAAAUAAAAAAAUAUGGAUUGUAGUCUGAAAUUCGACUACAUGAAAAAGGAAUUACUAGUAAUCGUGUAUCACCAUGGCACGGUGAAUUAUAUCUCAGAUUGGUACUAACCACUCGUCAGGCGCCGAAAAUUGUAUGCGCAAUAAGUUUGGUAAAUUCAAAAAAAAAGUAUAGGCAAUUAGGCUUAUGGCAUUUGAGAGUUUAUCUUCGUAUGCGUGACUUUAAUUGGUGUUAAGUCGAAAUAUGGUUCGUGUAGCGGAAGUUGCACGG